Molecule: long non-coding RNA, 214 nt
Filed under: Lathyrus oleraceus (garden pea)
Lineage: Eukaryota; Viridiplantae; Streptophyta; Magnoliopsida; Fabales; Fabaceae
Description: Pisum sativum (pea) long non-coding RNA (PSAT_LNC012512)
Source: RNAcentral
UUACUGGUGCCAACAUGAAAUAGAAAAGAAAAAGUAAUCUGAAAUAUAAUGAACAAAAGAUAUCAACAUUAAAGUUCCCUUGCAUAUUCAAAGUUGAUGAAGAAAAGGGAAGCCAACUACUUGUACUCAAUCUCUAGAUACAUCAGCUUGUAUGGUUUGAGCCAAAUAUUUCUAUUGUUCACUUUCCUUUCUUAUGAGAGUAUUCGUACAUUAG